CGUCCGGUAGCUCAGCCAGGUAGAGGAUGGGGAACUAACAAAUCCCCGUGUCGUGGGUUCAAUUCCCACUCGGACGA
Molecule: transfer RNA, 77 nt
Filed under: Oscillospiraceae bacterium
Lineage: Bacteria; Bacillati; Bacillota; Clostridia; Eubacteriales; Oscillospiraceae
Description: tRNA-OTHER
Rfam family: tRNA
About the family: Transfer RNA (tRNA) molecules are approximately 80 nucleotides in length. Their secondary structure includes four short double-helical elements and three loops (D, anti-codon, and T loops).
Source: RNAcentral